Molecule: ribosomal RNA, 450 nt
Filed under: uncultured bacterium
Lineage: Bacteria
Description: partial 16S ribosomal RNA
Rfam family: Bacterial small subunit ribosomal RNA
Source: RNAcentral
GUGGGGAAUAUUGGACAAUGGGCGAAAGCCUGAUCCAGCCAUGCCGCGUGUGUGAAGAAGGUCUUCGGAUUGUAAAGCACUUUAAGUUGGGAGGAAGGGCAGUAAGUUAAUACCUUGCUGUUUUGACGUUACCGACAGAAUAAGCACCGGCUAACUUCGUGCCAGCAGCCGCGGUAAUACGAAGGGUGCAAGCGUUAAUCGGAAUUACUGGGCGUAAAGCGCGCGUAGGUGGUUCAGUAAGUUGGAAGUGAAAUCCCCGGGCUCAACCUGGGAACUGCUUUCAAAACUGUUGAGCUAGAGUACGGUAGAGGGUGGUGGAAUUUCCUGUGUAGCGGUGAAAUGCGUAGAUAUAGGAAGGAACACCAGUGGCGAAGGCGACCACCUGGACUGAUACUGACACUGAGGUGCGAAAGCGUGGGGAGCAAACAGGAUUAGAAACCCUGGUAGUCC